GACGAACGCUGGCGGCGUGCCUAAUACAUGCAAGUCGAGCGCAGGAAACUGACGGAACUCUUCGGAGGGAAGGCAGUGAAUGAGCGGCGGACGGGUGAGUAACACGUAAGGAACCUGCCUCAAGGAUUGGGAUAACUCCGAGAAAUCGGAGCUAAUACCGGAUAGUUCAACGGACCGCAUGGUCCGCUGAUGAAAGGCGCUCCGGCGUCACCUUGAGAUGGCAUUGCGGUGCAUUAGCUAGUUGGUGGGGUAACGGCCCACCAAGGCGACGAUGCAUAGCCGACCUGAGAGGGUGAUCGGCCACACUGGGACUGAGACACGGCCCAGACGCCUACGGGAGGCAGCAGUAGGGAAUCUUCCACAAUGGACGAAAGUCUGAUGGAGCAACGCCGCGUGAGUGAUGAAGGUUUUCGGAUCGUAAAACUCUGUUGUAAGGGAAGAACACGUACGAGAGGAAAUGCUCGUACCUUGACGGUACCUUACGAGAAAGCCACGGCUAACUACGUGCCAGCCGCCGCAGUAA
Molecule: ribosomal RNA, 523 nt
Filed under: uncultured bacterium
Lineage: Bacteria
Description: partial 16S ribosomal RNA
Rfam family: Bacterial small subunit ribosomal RNA
Source: RNAcentral